UGCGGAAGGAUCAUUACCGAGUGAGGGCCCUCUGGGUCCAACCUCCCACCCGUGUUUAUUUUACCUUGUUGCUUCGGCGGGCCCGCCUUAACUGGCCGCCGGGGGGCUCACGCCCCCGGGCCCGCGCCCGCCGAAGACACCCUCGAACUCUGUCUGAAGAUUGAAGUCUGAGUGAAAAUAUAAAUUAUUUAAAACUUUCAACAACGGAUCUCUUGGUUCCGGCAUCGAUGAAGAACGCAGCGAAAUGCGAUACGUAAUGUGAAUUGCAAAUUCAGUGAAUCAUCGAGUCUUUGAACGCACAUUGCGCCCCCUGGUAUUCCGGGGGGCAUGCCUGUCCGAGCGUCAUUGCUGCCCUCAAGCCCGGCUUGUGUGUUGGGCCCCGUCCUCCGAUCUCCGGGGGACGGGCCCGAAAGGCAGCGGCGGCACCGCGUCCGGUCCUCGAGCGUAUGGGGCUUUGUCACCCGCUCUGUAGGCCCGGCCGGCGCUUGCCGAUCAACCCAAAUUUUUAUCCAGGUUGACCUCGGAUCAGGUAGGGAUACCCGCUGAACUUAA
RNAcentral lists this ribosomal RNA (552 nucleotides) under Penicillium commune. RNAcentral's name for it is "eukaryotic LSU rRNA". The stretch from base 193 to 345 matches the Rfam family "5.8S ribosomal RNA". The record is from RNAcentral. Lineage: Eukaryota; Fungi; Ascomycota; Eurotiomycetes; Eurotiales; Aspergillaceae.